CCUACGGGUGGCAGCAGUGGGGAAUAUUGCACAAUGGGGGAAACCCUGAUGCAGCGACGCCGCGUGAGUGAAGAAGUAUCUCGGUACGUAAAGCUCUAUCAGCAGGGAAGAAAAUGACGGUACCUGACUAAGAAGCCCCGGCUAACUACGUGCCAGCAGCCGCGGUAAUACGUAGGGGGCAAGCGUUAUCCGGAUUUACUGGGUGUAAAGGGAGCGUAGACGGCAGCACAAGUCUGGAGUGAAAUCCCGGGGCUUAACCCCGGAACUGCUCUUGGAACUGCAUGGCUGGAGUACAGGAGGGGCAGGCGGAAUUCCUAGUGUAGCGGUGAAAUGCGUAGAUAUUAGGAGGAACACCGGUGGCGAAGGCGGCCUGCUGGACUGUGACUGACGUUGAGGCCCGAAGGCGUGGGGAGCAAACAGGAUUAGAUACCCUUGUAGUC
RNAcentral lists this ribosomal RNA (440 nucleotides) under uncultured bacterium. RNAcentral's name for it is "partial 16S ribosomal RNA". It matches the Rfam family "Bacterial small subunit ribosomal RNA", at positions 338 to 795 of the family's 1533-position model. The record is from RNAcentral.